Molecule: ribosomal RNA, 239 nt
Filed under: uncultured bacterium
Lineage: Bacteria
Description: partial 16S ribosomal RNA
Rfam family: Bacterial small subunit ribosomal RNA
Source: RNAcentral
UACGUAGGGGGCAAGCGUUGUCCGGAUUUAUUGGGCGUAAAGAGCGUGUAGGCGGCCAAACAGGUCAGCUGUGAAAACUCGAGGCUCAACCUCGAGACGUCGGUUGAAACCGUUUGGCUAGAGUCCGGAAGAGGAGAGUGGAAUUCCCGGUGUAGCGGUGAAAUGCGCAGAUAUCGGGAAGAACACCCGUGGCGAAGGCGGCUCUCUGGGACAGUACGUGACGCUGAGACGCGAAAGCG